RNAcentral lists this ribosomal RNA (444 nucleotides) under uncultured soil bacterium. Its description in RNAcentral is "bacterial SSU rRNA". It matches the Rfam family "Bacterial small subunit ribosomal RNA", at positions 26 to 517 of the family's 1533-position model. The record is from RNAcentral.
AGAACGAACGCUGGCGGCAUGCCUAAUACAUGCAAGUCGAACGAACACUUCGGUGUUAGUGGCGCACGGGUGCGUAACGCGUGGGAAUCUGCCCUUGGGUUCGGAAUAACAGUUGGAAACGACUGCUAAUACCGGAUGAUAUCGAAAGAUCAAAGAUUUAUCGCCCAGGGAUGAGCCCGCGUAGGAUUAGCUAGUUGGUGAGGUAAAGGCUCACCAAGGCGACGAUCCUUAGCUGGUCUGAGAGGAUGAUCAGCCACACUGGGACUGAGACACGGCCCAGACUCCUACGGGAGGCAGCAGUAGGGAAUAUUGGACAAUGGGCGCAAGCCUGAUCCAGCAAUGCCGCGUGAGUGAUGAAGGCCUUAGGGUUGUAAAGCUCUUUACCGAGAUGAUAAUGACAGUAUCGGGAGAAUAAGCCCCGGCUAACUCCGUAGCCAGCAGCCG